Molecule: ribosomal RNA, 463 nt
Filed under: uncultured bacterium
Lineage: Bacteria
Description: bacterial SSU rRNA
Rfam family: Bacterial small subunit ribosomal RNA
Source: RNAcentral
CCUACGGGGGGCUGCAGUCGAGAAUCUUCCGCAAUGGGGGCAACCCUGACGGAGCGACGCCGCGUGGAGGAAGAAGGCCUUCGGGUUGUAAACUCCUGUCACGACUUACGAAAAUGCAGCGUGUAACAUCGCUGCACUGACAAAGGGUCGGAAGGAAGCCACAGCUAACUUCGUGCCAGCAGCUGCGGUAAUACGAAGGUGGCAAGCGUUGUUCGGAUUCACUGGGCAUAAAGGGCGCGUAGGCGGUUCCGAAAGUGAUCUGUGAAAGCCCCCGGCUCAACCGGGGAAGUGCAGGUCAAACUUCGGUACUUGAGGCUGGGAGGGGAGACUGGAACUCUCGGUGGAGCGGUGAAAUGCGUAGAUAUCGAGAGGAACACCGGUGGCGAAGGCGAGUCUCUGGACCAGCACUGACGCUGAGGCGCGAAAGCGUGGGUAGCAAACAGGCUUAGAUACCCCGGUAGUC